CUACCUUUAUCACCCGGUAUAUUUAAUUUUUUUCCUAUUCACAAUUUAAUAAAUUGAACUAAUUAUUAUAAAUAUAAACAACCUAAAUUAUUUAUUUUCAGCCUAGAUUUACAAUUUAGACAAUCAACCUAUGUACAUGCUCCUAACCAAUCACUUGUAUUUCUAUAAGCUCAAGCUCAAGCACAUAGAAAACACACAACAGAAAAGAGAAAUAAAAUUAAAAAAAACCAAAAUUUAAAAAAAAUUUAAAAAAAUUAUGUCACCCCCACACUUUAGUCAACACAUUGUCUCUAAUGUGCAAAUAAUAAAUAAAGG
This 315-nucleotide long non-coding RNA is filed under the name Gossypium raimondii (Peruvian cotton). Its description in RNAcentral is "long non-coding RNA (GRAI_LNC002876)". Lineage: Eukaryota; Viridiplantae; Streptophyta; Magnoliopsida; Malvales; Malvaceae. The record is from RNAcentral.